GAUGAAGAACGCAGCGAAAUGCGAUAAGUAAUGUGAAUUGCAGAAUUCAGUGAAUCAUCGAAUCUUUGAACGCACAUUGCGCCCGCUAGUAUUCUGGCGGGCAUGCCUGUUCGAGCGUCAUUUCAACCAUCAAGCCCUGUGCUUGUGUUGGGGGCCUGCGGCUGCCGCAGCCCCCUAAAAGCAGUGGCGGGCUCGCUGUCAUUCCGAGCGCAGUAACUUAUCUCGCUUUGGUCGUGGCGGUGGGCACCUGCCGUAAAACACUCUUUUUCACAAGGUUGACCUCGGAUCAGGUAGGAAUACCCGCUGAACUUAAGCAUAUCAAUAAGCGGAGGA
RNAcentral lists this unclassified non-coding RNA (333 nucleotides) under soil metagenome. RNAcentral describes it as "partial contains 5.8S ribosomal RNA, internal transcribed spacer 2, and large subunit ribosomal RNA". The stretch from base 1 to 120 matches the Rfam family "5.8S ribosomal RNA", at positions 35 to 154 of the family's 154-position model. The record is from RNAcentral.